ACUGUAUGUAGAGCCACAAGGAGCGGCUGUUGCUGUACAACUGCCAGAACAUCUCACACAAUGGCUUCCUGUCAAAAACACUACACCAUGUGACUUUAAUGAUUGAAAAAGGAUUUGAAUCACAUCAACUGGUGAAAUAAGCCAAACAGGAGCAAACUUGGUCCCCCAGAGUGAACCCUUACAUCCACAUCUCAGCAAACAAACAGUUCAUUAGGAAAUAAAACAAAACAGGAGAUCAGGGAAUAGCUGAAAACGUGAUAGUGGAUGACAAACCAGCCAUGCAGAUGGCAUUCAGUGCAGAAAAGUUGCAGAGUUGGCUAGCCUGAUAACGUGUUACCAUCUGAGAUUGGAGCCAAGCAGUCGUUUGGGAUAAGAGUAUAAAGGAGUGAGCAAAUGGGUCAGGGUACCACAGGCGGAGGAUGAGUACAAUUACUCCCAGUUUUUGCAAGCAGUGUUGGCAAAAUUCAAUUUGCCAUGUUCUGCUUCCUUGAGCCUGAAGGAUUCUGCAGGCAUGGAAGUGGAUUCAGACAUAUUUGAUGAACUCUUGAAGUCAUCUGGGGUGUCUUUCAAGGCUGAAGAGUGUAAUAGUGCUGAGGAGGAGUCAUCAGAGUGCUCAUCUUUAUCAGAGUGGUCACCAUCACAUGCAUCCCAGGGCUCAUCAUCAGGCUCAGUAAUACUGGAAUCUACCAAAGCUCGGAAAAGACAGCUAGUUGAAGGACCCCCCCCCCCCCGAUGCCAAUGUUGCAAGAAAUGAUGAAAUGGAACACAGCAAUCAGCCAGUGAGGAAAGGGAUGGACACACCAAUAACUGAUCUUCCUAGAUUGAUAUUGACCCUGAUGUAUUGGUCUAACCCUACAAUAUAAACAUUGUAGUCACAAUAGAUAUGUUAGUUCUGCAGUUACAGUAGGUAUGCUCUGCACCUUCAGGCUGACGAGCCUGCUAUACUUGCAAUGUGAAUGUCAUGUAAUUGCUGUUUCAGACUGUCAAAGCAGUCCUGUAUUCAAAGCCAGGUGGAGACCAGAUAUUCAAGGAGUACGAGAAAACAAGCACCAUCAGUGAUGUUACAAGAGGAAAGAUGGUGAACAUACUAGUGGCUGACAUGGUGGAGAGUCAUGGAGGGGUCCCUCCAGUGAAUGUGCGCAUUUUCUACACACUUGGGAUUACAAGUCUGUUCCCAAACUUGAAGGACCUGGAUUCAAAUAAUGGUUAUGAACAUUUCUAUGAUCCCCAGAGCGGCUCCGGUUACCUAGCACGGAGGCUGAAAACGGUUCAGCGCAACUCUGCUCAAGACAUCAAGAAAUCAAAGUCCACUUUUCAAGAGGGCCCCAAGACUCUAUGCAGCAUGUGUUCAGUUGAGAAGCAGUUGACCGGUGAUGAAUGCAAGGAAGCCAUGUCGGUGAUGCGACCCUCGUCAAAGAUAAAAUGAAGGCAACAUUCCAGCACAGGCAAAAGGUGGUUCAAGACCCAGCUACUGCCUCUACUGUCCUGGAUCUCUUUUCAAGAUUUCUGGAUACAUCUGGUUUGAUCGACCAAGACUUCACAAGGCUCUUUGGUGAUGAAGUGUCUGGUAAAUUCCUUGCAAAAUGGCCAACCCUCUUCAAACCAAGGGUCAUCACAGACUGCUGCAAAAAUCUACUCCAGAGUCCGCGUGUGAAUGAGAUACUUCUGUCUGCACAACAGGAGUCUGAUGGUGCAUGGCAUUCUGCAGAGUGGGACUCUGAGAUGGCCACCAUCCUUCUGCUGCUUCACCUCUUACCCCAGCCUGUAAGGGCAAGAUGAGCGCAUCAGAUGCUGCUGGACGCCUGAUCAAGUUCAUGAAGCAUGGAGACCUUCCUAAAGGAAACCGGCCUCAAACAGCCCUUUCUUCUUUGUGUCAGAGAAAGGAGCAACAGAUCCAAGAUUUCUACAUCAUCCUGGAACAGAAGGCCAUACCCUGCAGGAUGCAGACCGCAGUUGCCGCCUUCGACGAGCUCUUCAAGGCACAUUUUGCUUUCGCUGUGUCCUAUAAUGAUGCACUGUCCAGCUUCUUCACAUUCAUCCAGAGCACCGUGUAUGGGAUCGAUGCAGGCAGUGUGAAGGAGAGGGUCAAGGAAAUCAGAGCAAGGCUUCUUCACUGCGCACUUUGAAAAAAACACAUUUUUGACCUGAAGUAUGUACACCUGUUACAUUUGCAAGGCACACCACACAUCUUGUUCAGUGUAAUUCAGUCAUUUGAAGUUCCAGCAUGGAUUGUUGCCCGCAAAGUCUUUGAGCUUGAACUGUGGAGAGCCUGAAUGUUCUUUUGUUUUCCGCACAUACUCUGGUUACCAACGUCACUUAUCUCGAGCACAUGGGGACUGUCUUGAUCCAGAUCCUGUCAAUUUUGAGAUUGAGCCUAUAGCUGGACCUUCGACAACAAUGAAUGUUGAUCCCCCUAUCACUCACUACACACGUUCCUGUUCAACAAAGGAACAUUUUGGACAUGGCCAGCUCUGUUGUUGCUCAGGUUAAAGCCUGGUACUGUGCAGUCUCUAGUUGGCUCAAUGGAAGAACUGUUUUGAUCAGCUAGAAAACCCAUUUUCACGUCUUAACACAGAAUCUAAAAGGAAGAGGUAUUUUGAAGAGAAAUGGAAGAUAGUACAACCUGUAGAGCAUGUUCUGGGCGUUCGAUUUGAUGUAAGAAGAGAUAAAAUAACAGGGUUGUAUAGGCAAGUUCCAGUCAAUGAUACAUUUAUAUAUGUACCCAUCCGGGGGUCUCUCUCCUCUAUGUUUAGUAACAGUGAACUCUGUAAGAGUUUCCAAGAAGCAAAACCACAUCAGGAGAGAUUUUACAGAGAUGUAAAUGAUGGGUCCUACUUUAAGAAUCAUAAUUUAUCUUCCCAGUAAGAACAUGCACUUCAGAUCCAGCUCUACUAUGACGAUUUUGAAACUGCCAAUGCGUUAGGCUCAAAAAAGGGAGUGCACAAACUCGGAUGUGUAUAUUUUAUUUUGGGAAAUUUGUCGCCAAAGCUCAAUUCUGUGUUAAUGAACAUUCAUCUUGUAGCCCUCUUUCACUCAGAGGACCUAAACAUAUAUGGGUUCGAGCCAAUUCUGAAGCCACUGAUUGAUGAUCUGAAGAUUUUGGAGACUGAAGGAAUACAGUUGCCCUUUUCAGCUAUACCGGUGAAGGGCUCAGUCUUUUAGGUUACAGGAGACAAUUUAGGUCUUCAUGGUCUUCUUGGUUUUGUUGAAUCAUUUAGUGCAACAUACUGUUGUAGAUUUUGUUCAACUGAUAAGAGUGAAUUGCAGUCAGUUUUCAGUGAAGAUCACCCAGGUUUAUCUCUACGUUCAAAAGACCUUCACAUUGAACACAUUCGUGUCAUCCAAGAAAAUCCUGCUUUGAAAUCAACAUUUGGUGUCAAACGAGACUUUCCACUCAAUUCCUCCCAGUUUUUCCACUCCUCAAACAACUGCGCUGUAGACAUAAUGCAUGACCUGCUAGAAGGAGUGGUUCAGUACGAGCUAAAGCUUGUUUCAGUAUCUGAUCAAGAAUUCAAUAUCCUUGAGUUCAUUGUCUGAGAGAAUUGUGAGCUUUAAUUAUGGAUACACACAGAGAAAGAGCAGGCCAGGUGGGCUAAAGCUUGAUGACAACAGCAAAGAUCUGGGACUUAAUGCUAUCCAGUCAUGGUGUCUCUUACGCAAUGCCCCACUGCUUUUUGGUGAUCUAGUUAGCAGGGAGGAUAAAUGUUGGGGGUUAUUGCUCCUUUUAACUCAAAUUGUCAACAUUGUGUUUUCCCCAACUGUAACCCAUGGUAUGACUUGUUACCUGAAACACUUAAUUUUUGAACAUCACAAGCUUUUUAAAUCUAUCUUCCCAGACUAUAAUUUGAUUUCAAAACAUCAUCUAAUGAUCCAUUACCCAAGCUGUAUUAGAAGAAUUGGACCACUCAUACACAUCUGGUGCAUGAGAUUUGAAGGAAAGCACAACUUCUUUAAAAAGUCUGUUAAAAAUUUUAAACGUUGCCAUGACACUGGCUAAGAAACAUCAGGAAGAGUUAGCAUCUCAUUUCGAGAAAUUUAAGUUCAAAAGAUUAACGUUUGGUCCCAUAAGUCAAGCCUUAGUCAGCAGUUUAGAGGGUGGAGAGGCACUGAAUGAAGCUUUUGAUGUAUUGACUGUUUCCACCACCCCCUGGGUCAAAAGCUAUGGCACAGAGUAUCAGGUGGGGAUGUAUGUGGUUACUGGAGUUGAAAAUGAGAUGCCUUUGUUCAACAGGAUUGACAGUAUAAUUAUUAGAGAGGACAAUGCCUAUCUUUUAAUUUGUUAAGUCUCAGCCCUUUUUUUGAUGAUCAUUUCAAUGCAUUUGCUAUUGAGGAGAACACUGGGGUUUUCACAGUAAUAUCUGUAAACAACCUGUUACAUUACAGACCCUGUGAUAGGCAAUUUUCAUAUGACACCGAUGACCAAGUGUACCUUGUUCCAUACUGUAUUUAUGUAUGAUGAAUCCAUGCAGUUUGUUAUGCUGUCUGUUGUUAAAGUGAUGUGGUGGCCUUUUAAU
Thunnus maccoyii (southern bluefin tuna) is the source of this 4514-nucleotide long non-coding RNA. RefSeq lists it as uncharacterized. The transcript is spliced from 11 exons. The record is from RefSeq and is a predicted model, not a curated record. NCBI's taxonomy places the organism in Eukaryota, Metazoa, Chordata, Actinopteri, Scombriformes, Scombridae.